RNAcentral lists this ribosomal RNA (357 nucleotides) under Shigella dysenteriae. RNAcentral describes it as "bacterial SSU rRNA". It matches the Rfam family "Bacterial small subunit ribosomal RNA", at positions 966 to 1323 of the family's 1533-position model. The record is from RNAcentral. Lineage: Bacteria; Pseudomonadati; Pseudomonadota; Gammaproteobacteria; Enterobacterales; Enterobacteriaceae.
GAACCUUACCUGGUCUUGACAUCCACAGAACCUUGUAGAGAUACGAGGGUGCCUUCGGGAACUGUGAGACAGGUGCUGCAUGGCUGUCGUCAGCUCGUGUUGUGAAAUGUUGGGUUAAGUCCCGCAACGAGCGCAACCCUUAUCCUUUGUUGCCAGCGGUCCGGCCGGGAACUCAAAGGAGACUGCCAGUGAUAAACUGGAGGAAGGUGGGGAUGACGUCAAGUCAUCAUGGCCCUUACGACCAGGGCUACACACGUGCUACAAUGGCGCAUACAAAGAGAAGCGACCUCGCGAGAGCAAGCGGACCUCAUAAAGUGCGUCGUAGUCCGGAUUGGAGUCUGCAACUCGACUCCAUGA